GUAUCCCUACGGGACGCAGCAGUGAGGAAUAUUGGUCAAUGGCCGGAAGGCUGAACCAGCCACGUCGCGUGAGGGAAUAAGGCCCUAUGGGUCGUAAACCUCUUUUGUCAGGGAGCAAAGGCGUCCACGAGUGGACGAAAGGAGAGUGCCUGAAGAAAAAGCAUCGGCUAACUCCGUGCCAGCAGCCGCGGUAAUACGGAGGAUGCGAGCGUUAUCCGGAUUUAUUGGGUUUAAAGGGUGCGUAGGCGGAGUGUCAAGUCAGCGGUAAAAUUUCGGGGCUCAACCCCGUCGUGCCGUUGCAACUG
Molecule: ribosomal RNA, 305 nt
Filed under: uncultured bacterium
Lineage: Bacteria
Description: bacterial SSU rRNA
Rfam family: Bacterial small subunit ribosomal RNA
Source: RNAcentral